This 3231-nucleotide ribosomal RNA is filed under the name Triticum aestivum (bread wheat). Its description in RNAcentral is "partial small subunit ribosomal RNA". The record is from RNAcentral. Lineage: Eukaryota; Viridiplantae; Streptophyta; Magnoliopsida; Poales; Poaceae.
AUGGCAGACAACCAAAUCAAUGGCCACAUACCUCCCGAGAUAAGCCGCCUAACCCAACUCAGGUACCUCAACCUUAGCAUGAAUUCCAUUACAGGGAUGAUUCCAAAUAGCAUAUCGUCAUGCACCCUCCUCGAGGUCAUCGACCUUAGGAUGAAUUCAAUCACGGGGGUGAUUCCGACUACCAUAUCGUCAUGUUCACGCCUCAAGGUCAUAGACCUUAGCAUGAAUUCCAUCACAGGGGUGAUUCCGAAUACCAUAUCCUCAUGUUCGCACCUCGAGGUCAUCCACCUGUGGAACAACUCGAUCGAAGGUGCAAUCCCUCCAGCGCUUGCACAAUGCUCGUCUCUUCGCGAAAUUGUUCUUAGCAAUAACAACCUUAAUGGCAGUAUCCCUCAUGGAAUUGGCUUGCUUCCCAACCUUACAUACCUGUUUCUGCCGAGCAACAAUCUGAAGGGUCCAAUUCCUGAAUCUUUGGGAGGUAGCCCAUUGCUCAAUGUCGUCCUGUCGAAUAAUAGCCUAACUGGUGGAAUUCCACCUCUGCUAGCAAAUUGCUCUUCACUUAACUACCUUGACCUCAUGAGAAAUAGCUUUGAUGGAGAGAUUCCUCUAGGACUCUUUAGUAACCCAUCUCUUGCUAUCUUAGAUCUCUCAUAUAAUCAAUUCUCCGGACCAAUACCAUCUUCCUCACUGAUAGCCUCCCAGCUACAGUAUGUCAGCCUGACAGGAAACAACCUCUCAGGAAAAAUUCCUGACACACUAGGAAACAUUUCUAACCUAUAUUCUUUGACACUUGCUCAGAAUAGGCUGCAAGGAAGCAUUCCGGAGAGUUUAGCUAAGAUUCCGAUUUUGCAAGCACUUGAUUUGUCAUACAACAACUUGUCUGGUGCAGUCCCACCAGCUCUUUACAGAGUCACAUCUCUCACUUAUCUUGGCCUUGGUAACAACCAACUUUCUGGGAGAAUUCCGAUAGAUAUUGCAUACACACUUCCCAGCAUUGAGACAUUGGUCAUGGAAGGAAACCAUUUCGAUGGUCCACUUCCUAUAUCAUUAGUUAACUUAUCCAACCUUCAAGUGCUUGAGCUCCGUGAUAACGCAUUCACUGGUUUGAUUCCUUCUUUCUGGUCCUUGCCCAACUUGAUCCAAUUGGACCUUGGUACCAACCAGUUUGAGGCUGUAGAUUGGAGUACUUUGUCCUCAGUACCAGGCUCUGCCCAGUUGCAGGCAAUUUAUCUGGAUUACAACAAGCUUCAUGGAAAAUUACCUAGUUCCAUGGGAAAUCUUCCAAGAAGCUUACAGAAGUUGUAUCUAUCAGAAAACAGAUUUACUGGGACCAUACCUUCAGAGAUAGCAAAACUCACAAACCUCACAGUUCUUCAACUUGGUGGGAACUUUCUCUCUGGGGGGAUUCCUGACACACUCGGAAACCUCAAGAACUUGUUUCUUCUAGGUUUGUCACGGAACAAACUUUCUGGAAAAAUCCCGCAGUCAGUUGGUAACUUAAAAAAUCUUGGUGAGCUUUAUCUCGAAGAAAACAACUUGACUGGAUCCAUACCUUCAAGCUUAGCAGACUGCCAAAAUUUGGUACUGCUAAACCUCUCAUGCAAUGAUUUCCAUGGGAGUAUUCCACCUGGGCUCAUGUCUAUUUCCACUCUUUCAAAGAGCCUAGAUUUGUCUUAUAAUAAACUCAACGGAUCCAUACCAUCUGAGAUUGGCAGCUUGAUUAAUCUCGACUCCCUUAAUAUUUCCAACAACCAGUUAUCUGGAGAUAUUCCACAUGCAGUUGGUGAGUGCCUUCAUUUAGAAUCGCUUCGACUAGAGGUGAACUUUCUUCGUGGGAGCAUCCCAGAAUCCCUCAUGAGCUUAAGAGGCAUUACUGAGAUGGACCUUUCUCGGAACAACUUGUCCGGCGAAAUCCCAGACUUCUUUGAGUCCUUUGACUCUUUGCAGCUUCUCAAUUUGUCCUUUAACAGCCUUGAGGGAAUAGUUCCAACAGGUGGCGCAUUUAGCAAUUCAAGUAAGGUGUUCAUACAAGGAAACAAGGAUUUAUGUACAAGGUCUCCGAUGCUCCAGUUACCACUUUGCACAUCAGACCCAACCAAAAGAAAGGAAACUUUGCAUAUCAUAUCAAUAGUUGUUCCUCUGGCUGCUGCUGUUGUAGUUCUGAUAUCAGCAGUUGCAACCAUUCUUUUCAAGAAAAGAAAUGAAUUAAGAGAACACAUUUAUCAGUCAAUCAAGGAGUUCAAGAAAUUCUCAUACAAUGAGCUUGCUGCAGCUACCAACAAUUUUUCUUCAGCUAACCAUGUUGGUUCCGGGAGUUUUGGAGUGGUCUAUAAAGGCAUACUAAAGUUUCAGGCGCAGCCAGUUGCUAUUAAGGUGUUCAAACUGGAACAUAUUGGAGCACCAAAGAGCUUCUUUACUGAAUGUGAGGUGCUCAGAAACACCCGCCACCGAAAUCUUAUGCGGGUCAUUAGUCUAUGCUCAAGCUUCGAUCACCUGGGAAGUGAAUUCAAGGCACUGGUUCUUGACUAUAUGGCCAAUGGUAACCUAGAAAGCUGGCUCCAUUCAGAAGUACAUGAAGAAAGACAGAAAAGGCCAUUGAGUCUAGUAUCAAGAGUAAGCAUAGCUACGGACAUUGCUGCUGCCUUGGACUAUCUCCACAACCGGUGCACGCCUCCUUUGGUUCACUGUGAUUUGAAGCCAAGCAACAUCCUUUUGGAUGACGCUAUGGUUGCUCAUGUUAGUGACUAUGGAUUAGCAAAGUUUCUUGGUAACCAUCCUUCAGCAAGUCUUAAUGAUUUGACAAGUAUACAUGGGCCAAGAGGAUCAGUUGGAUAUAUUGCACCUGAAUACGGAUUAGGUUAUGAAAUAUCAACUGCAGGGGACGUCUACAGCUAUGGUAUUAUUCUGCUAGAAAUGCUCACAGGGAAGCAUCCUACUGACGAUAUCUUCAACAAUGGUCUGAACCUUCACAGAUUGGUGGUCUCUGCACUCCCACAAGAUAUUGGUGACAUUUUAGAGACCGGUCUUAUUCCACAUGAUGAACUUGAAGAAACAAACCGCAACACAGAAAGUAAGAAUCACCCAGUGGUCAGAAUGCAGAACUGUAUCAUGCAGUUAGCUAAACUGGGCCUAAAAUGUUCCAUGGACUCACCAAAAGAUCGGCCAAUGAUGCAAGAUGUUUAUGCUGAAAUCAUCACGAUCAAGGAAACAUUUUCAGAAUUGUGGAGUUGA